UACAGAGGGGGCAAGCGUUAUUCGGAAUUAUUGGGCGUAAAGGGCGCGUAGGCGGCCUGGCAAGUGGAUGGUGAAAUCCCUCGGCUUAACCGAGGAACUGCCAUCCAGACUGCUUGGCUUGAGACCGGGAGAGGUGAGUGGAAUUCCCAGUGUAGCGGUGAAAUGCGUAGAUAUUGGGAGGAACACCAGUGGCGAAGGCGGCUCACUGGACCGGUGCUGACGCUGAGGCGCGAAAGCGUGGGGAGCAAACGGG
This 253-nucleotide ribosomal RNA is filed under the name uncultured bacterium. Its description in RNAcentral is "partial 16S ribosomal RNA". It matches the Rfam family "Bacterial small subunit ribosomal RNA", at positions 524 to 776 of the family's 1533-position model. The record is from RNAcentral.